Erigeron canadensis is the source of this 317-nucleotide long non-coding RNA. RefSeq lists it as uncharacterized. NCBI's taxonomy places the organism in Eukaryota, Viridiplantae, Streptophyta, Magnoliopsida, Asterales, Asteraceae. The record is from RefSeq and is a predicted model, not a curated record. The transcript has 5 exons.
GUCAAUUAUAUCUGGUGUUACUCGAUCGUAUCGGUGGUUGAAACAAAAAUGGGUUUGUGCCGAAGGGUUGUGGUGUUGCUCUUCUUGUGGGUGUUCCGCAUAAAGAUGCCAUUUUCAAGAUUCAUCCUAUGAAAUUGAAACCUGAUCAAGCUGCACGAUUUGGUGAUGCAAUAUGGGCAUGUAUGUAGUUUAAUUUCUGUCAAGAUACUUGGAAGACUUCAAUAUGGGCAUGUAUGUAGUUAUCGAGGUGUGAUUGUAUCUAUGCAUAAAGAGAACAAGCUUAUCAUGGUCAAUCCAGACACCAAAGCUCUGGCAGG